GAUGAACGCUGGCGGCGUGCCUAAUACAUGCAAGUCGAGCGAACAGACGAGGAGCUUGCUCCUCUGACGUUAGCGGCGGACGGGUGAGUAACACGUGGAUAACCUACCUAUAAGACUGGGAUAACUUCGGGAAACCGGAGCUAAUACCGGAUAAUAUAUUGAACCGCAUGGUUCAAUAGUGAAAGACGGUUUUGCUGUCACUUAUAGAUGGAUCCGCGCCGCAUUAGCUAGUUGGUAAGGUAACGGCUUACCAAGGCAACGGUGCGUAGCCGACCUGAGAGGGGGGACCGGCCACACUGAACCUGGGACACGGUCCAGCCCCCAACGGGGGGCAGCAGAAGGAAACCUUCGGCAAGGGGCGAAAGCCUGACGGAGCAACGCGGGGGGGGUGAGGAAGGCCUUCGGUUCGUAAAACCCUGUUAUUAGGGAAGAACAAAGGUGUAAGUAACAAUGCAGGUCUUGCCGGUACCUAAUCAGAAAGCCACGGCUACCUACGU
RNAcentral lists this ribosomal RNA (497 nucleotides) under uncultured bacterium. RNAcentral describes it as "partial 16S ribosomal RNA". It matches the Rfam family "Bacterial small subunit ribosomal RNA", at positions 28 to 506 of the family's 1533-position model. The record is from RNAcentral.